Molecule: non-coding RNA, 69 nt
Organism: Dipodomys ordii (Ord's kangaroo rat)
Lineage: Eukaryota; Metazoa; Chordata; Mammalia; Rodentia; Heteromyidae
Source: Rfam
GGGAAGGUAGCUCAGUGGUAGAGUGCUUGCCUUGCAUGCAUGAGGCCUGGGUUCGAUUCCUCAGCACCA